Molecule: ribosomal RNA, 467 nt
Filed under: uncultured bacterium
Lineage: Bacteria
Description: partial 16S ribosomal RNA
Rfam family: Bacterial small subunit ribosomal RNA
Source: RNAcentral
GACGAACGCUGGCGGCGUGCUUAACACAUGCGAGUCGAACGGAAAGGCCUCUUUCGGGGGGUACUCGAGUGGCGAACGGGUGAGUAACACGUGAGUAACCUGCCCUUGACUUUGGGAUAACUUCAGGAACCUGGGGCUAAUACCGGAUAGGAGCUCCUGCUGCAUGGUGGGGGUUGGAAAGUUUCGGCGGUUGGGGAUGGACUCGCGGCUUAUCAGCUUGUUGGUGGGGUAGUGGCUUACCAAGGCUUUGACGGGUAGCCGGCCUGAGAGGGUGACCGGCCACAUUGGGACUGAGAUACGGCCCAGACUCCUACGGGAGGCAGCAGUGGGGAAUAUUGCACAAUGGGUGGAAGCCUGAUGCAGCAACGCCGUGUGCGGGAUGACGGCCUUCGGGUUGUAAACCGCUUUCGCUCAUGACGAAGCUUUGUGUGACGGUAGUGGGUAAAGAAGCACCGGCUAACUACGUG